UNCNCAUAANACUCCCCUGGGAGUACGCCGCAAGGUNAACNCAAAGGAUUGACGGGGGCCCGCNCAAGGGUGGNGCNUUGGUUNANUNGAAGCAACGCGAAGAACCUUCCANGUUUUGACAUCCCUCUGNCCACUCUANAGAUAGAGUUUUUUUCGGGACAGAGGUGACAGGUGGUGCAUGGUUGUCGUCAGCUCGUGUCGUGAGAUGUUGGGUUAAGUCCCGCAACGAGCGCAACCCCUAUUGUUAGUUGCCAUCAUUCAGUUGGGCACUCUAGCGAGACUGCCGGUAAUAAACCGGAGGAAGGUGGGGAUGACGUCAAAUCAUCAUGCCCCUUAUGACCUGGGCUACACACGUGCUACAAUGGCUGGUACAACGAGUCGCAAGCCGGUGACGGCAAGCUAAUCUCUUAAAGCCAGUCUCAGUUCGGAUUGUAGGCUGCAACUCGCCUACAUGAAGUCGGAAUCGCUUGUNNUCGCGGAUCAGCACGCCGCGGUGAAUACGUUCCCGGGCCUUGUACACACCGCCCGUCACACCACGAGAGUUUGUAACACCCGAAGUCGGUGAGGUAACCGUAAGGAG
Molecule: ribosomal RNA, 580 nt
Filed under: uncultured bacterium
Lineage: Bacteria
Description: partial 16S ribosomal RNA
Rfam family: Bacterial small subunit ribosomal RNA
Source: RNAcentral